GCCUACGGGAGGCAGCAGUGAGGAAUAUUGGUCAAUGGCCGAGAGGCUGAACCAGCCAAGUCGCGUGAGGGAUGACGGCCCUACGGGUUGUAAACCUCUUUUGUCGGGGAGCAAGACCCGCCUCGUGCAGGCGGAGCGAGAGUACCCGAAGAAAAAGCAUCGGCUAACUCCGUGCCAGCAGCCGCGGUAAUACGUAUGGUGCAAGCGUUAUCCGGAUUUACUGGGUGUAAAGGGAGCGCAGGCGGCGCGUUAAGCUUGGUGUGAAAGCCCGCGGCCCAACCGCGGGACUGCAUUGGGAACUGGCG
Molecule: ribosomal RNA, 305 nt
Filed under: uncultured bacterium
Lineage: Bacteria
Description: bacterial SSU rRNA
Rfam family: Bacterial small subunit ribosomal RNA
Source: RNAcentral